CCAUUAUUUCACUAUAUCAGCAUUGUAAUGUUCUGUGCUCGACGUCUCGAGAAUAUCAGUGCUGCUCUUUCAUACUUAGCAAGGAUCCUUUGCAAGUAUUUUAUCUCCAUCAACGUACUUGACUUGAUUAGUUGUUUCAAAUGUGCUCUAAUCCAUCUCUAUGCUUCAGUGUUUCCAUGUUAUUUAUAAACAAUGUCUUCCAUUUAAUUAGUACCAUCCCGUCUUUGUUUUAUAUCCGUCCACAUUCGGAAAGAGACUGAUGCUGCAUUAAUGUAAUUAUUUUGCUCAAUUCCUUGCAAAUUGUCUGAAAAUGCCUGCAUUGAAAUGCAAAGUAAAUGGCGCCCUGAAUGACUU
This is a non-coding RNA of Pelobates cultripes (western spadefoot toad), 354 nucleotides long. The record is from the annotation of a GenBank genome assembly. NCBI's taxonomy places the organism in Eukaryota, Metazoa, Chordata, Amphibia, Anura, Pelobatidae.